Molecule: ribosomal RNA, 301 nt
Filed under: uncultured bacterium
Lineage: Bacteria
Description: partial 16S ribosomal RNA
Rfam family: Bacterial small subunit ribosomal RNA
Source: RNAcentral
CAGCCGCCGCGGUAAUACGUAGGUGGCAAACGUUGUCCGGAAUUAUUGGGCGUAAAGGGCUCGCAGGCGGUUUCUUAAGUCUGAUGUGAAAGCCCCCGGCUCAACCGGGGAGGGUCAUUGGAAACUGGGAAACUUGAGUGCAGAAGAGGAGAGUGGAAUUCCACGUGUAGCGGUGAAAUGCGUAGAGAUGUGGAGGAACACCAGUGGCGAAGGCGACUCUCUGGUCUGUAACUGACGCUGAGGAGCGAAAGCGUGGGGAGCGAACAGGAUUAGAUACCCCAGUAGUCCCUGUCUCUUAUAC